Halichondria panicea is the source of this 1615-nucleotide RNA transcript. RefSeq lists it as uncharacterized. The record is from RefSeq and is a predicted model, not a curated record. NCBI's taxonomy places the organism in Eukaryota, Metazoa, Porifera, Demospongiae, Suberitida, Halichondriidae. The transcript has 8 exons.
AUGCAACACGCAUGGUGUCAGAAUUCUCUAGGGCAAUACAUUGGUCACCUGAGAUGUUUCCAAUCCCUCCCCUCUACUAUCUAUGCUCAUACUCGUAUGCAAAGUAGUAGCCAUUCUCUUGCAAAGAUUUCCAAUAAUUCCACACUCCCGGAUAAUACGCCUGGCCUCUCUUCAGAAUACGUUUCCAGUGGGUUUGAUGAUCCUAUUCUGAUGGAAUGUCUGUUUGAUCCAAGCCUUUUGAGACUGUACAGAACAGGAGGUUCUACACAUCUGUACAGAAGUGAGGAGGAUGAUGAUUUUAAUUUAUCGUACCUCUUUCAAAACAAGCACAAGUAUGGCUUGAGCAAAGAUACUGAUGUGGCACUGUGGCUAGCUUACAGAGCAUACACCCAUCAACCAGACUUAGUUGAAGCAUUUGACUUCGUGGUCGUCAAUUCACUCCUUCACAAUCAGUUUGACGACUUCAAAAAAGCAGAAAACACUGACAUCAGCUACUUAGAAAUGAACAGCCUGUUACAUUUCUACAUCCGUCAACACCCCCAGUCUGGUACUUUCCUGACAAAAAAGUAUGGUAAAACAUACCUAACCUGCACUUGUGGUCAAGUCAAUGAACUAUGUCAAUGGAUCUACGAUAUGAGAAAACAACACCCUCAAGACUUGCCACAAAGUUCUGUGAUGGGCAAAGAGCAGCAAAAGAUGCCACUUUGCUCAAUACCAGACGUGAGCCUUACACAUGGACCUGUGGUGACCCAUUUGCAACCAAUUGAUGUCCCCUUAGACUGUCCACCACCACCUAAGAGACGAAAGUCUAAUCAGUCUGUACCUAAGAGUCAAAAGAUCUACAACUCCUCAGCAGAAAAACAAAAAUAUGGAAAGAGCUUACAAAGUGGGUAUCCUUGGCACCCAAGUAUCUGGAGUUUUCAACAGAAUACAUGGAGUUGAAAUCUUUGAUCUAACAACUGAUCAAAUCUGUAGUCUCUUGGAACAUCCUGAUCCGUGCAAACCAGUCGAACUGAUUUUUCUGCUCCUGUAAUGACGUAUAAGGUAAUGGAAGGGGGCAGAGUCUAUCAGGAGAUCUCAAGAAAGAAAUUAUCCCAAGCUGUAAAAGACAUCGAGAUUCUUAUCUCCCGAUUGAGUACUGAGGACUAUUGGAGUUUCUUUGCCAAAGAUUUUUUCCAAACAAUCUUCUCUAAAAAUCUUACUAAAAAAUGCAAGAUGGUCAUAGCAAGGAUAAUUGGUAGAAAACACGGGGAGACCAAUCAGUUUCUGUGAAAACAGAAGUGUUUUUGAAGAAUCAAGGGCUGCAUGGAUAUGAAAAGCCUCAAAUUCAAAGGAAAUUUCUUUGUUAUCACUGACAAAUCACAAGCUGAAACCAAGACAAGGACUAAACCUACUAAUAAAGUGAACAUUGAGAGGGUGAGGUCCGAGCUAGCCGGAGAAGAGUUCAAAAUGGCUGUCACACAGCCUGUAAAGGAGACAGUGGCUGCAGGCAAAUCCAUCAUUGGCUUCGGAGCAAGACUGGGGCAGUGGUUUUCAUCACUUGUUCAUUAACGUGAUUAAACACUGUUUUUAAUUAUUGUGAUGUGUGAAUGUUCAUAAACUGAAUGUUGUGUAA